GGAAGGCAGGUCUAGCCUGAGUCCAAAGCUCAUGCUCCUCACAGCAGCCUGGACGGCCCCCGCCCGUACUCCUCCUCUUCACUCGGGAAGCUUGGUGGCUCCCUCGGGAACACGGGCUCACCUUGGCGGACAGGGGAUCUGGAGACCUGGGGAGUGCUGGCAAACCACUGACCUGGGAGUCCAGUAUACAACCUUGGGCAAGUCCCUUUAUCACAUGCCAGCCACCCCCACUCCCAGGCCUCAGUUUUCUUAUCAAGGCCCCUCAUUUCAGCCUUCCACAGUUUUAUUGUUUUUUCUUCUAUCACUGCCACUGGAGGCCCAUCUAGAACUUCUGCUCUGACAUGGCCUCCUUUCCAAGCCUGGGGUCCUGGAUUGGACAAGCCCACCAGAAAUCCCAAAGUCCCUGGACCUCCUGUCUUUAAUCACGGAAUAAGUGGGUCUUUUCUUCUGGACCUCAUCAAGCCGCAUCGGUUCUCUAGAAUCAAAGACAUCUCCCCAGUAGAAGGGGCCCCAAAUCCACGUGAAAGUGAAGAAGUUUUCAAACUUCGAAUUAGGGGCCGGCCCUGUGACCAAGUGGUUAGGUUCUUGCACUCUGUCCGGCGUUUGAAUCCUGGGCGCAGACCUAGCACUGCUCAUCAGGCCAUGCUGAGGCGGCAUCCUGCAUGCCACAACUACAAGGACCUACAACUAGAAUACACAACUAUGUACUGGAGGGGGCUUUGGGGGGAAGAAGAAAAAAGAAAGAUUG
Molecule: long non-coding RNA, 748 nt
Filed under: Equus caballus (horse)
Lineage: Eukaryota; Metazoa; Chordata; Mammalia; Perissodactyla; Equidae
Description: lncRNA (ENSECAG00000050268.1)
Source: RNAcentral